This 24471-nucleotide long non-coding RNA is filed under the name Triticum aestivum (bread wheat). RNAcentral describes it as "long non-coding RNA (TAES_LNC018918)". The record is from RNAcentral. Lineage: Eukaryota; Viridiplantae; Streptophyta; Magnoliopsida; Poales; Poaceae.
AGCAACAAACAUUUCCACCACAACAGCCAUAUCCGCAGCCGCAACCAUUUCCAGCACAACAACCAUAUCCGCAGCCGCAACUAUUUCCACAGCCGCAACCUUUUCCGCCACAACUUCCAUAUCCGCAGCCGCAACCAUUUCCCCCACAACAACCAUAUCCACAACCGCAAACACAGCAUCUGCAACCACAACAACCAAUUUCGCAGCAACAAGCACAACAACAACAACAACAACAACAACAACAACAAAUCCUUCAACAAAUUCUGCAACAACAACAACUGAUUCCAUGCAGGGAUGUCAUCGUCUUGCAACAACACAACAUAGCGCAUGAAAGCUCACAAGUAUUGCAGCAAAGUAGUUACCAAGUGUUGCAACAAUUAUGUUGUCAGCAGCUGCGGCAGAUCCCCGAGCAGUCGCGGUGCCAAGCCAUCAACAAUGUCGUUCAUGCUAUUAUUCUGCAUCAACAACAACAACAACAAGGACAACAUCAACAGUCGAGCCAGGUCUCCUACCAGCAGCCUCAGCAACAAUAUCCAUCAGGCCAGGGCUCCUUCCAGCCAUCUCAGCAAAAUCCACAGGCCCAGGGCUUUGUCCAACCUCAACAUCUGCCCCAACUCGAGGAAAUAAGUAACCUAGCGCUGCAGACGCUACCAGCAAUGUGCAAUGUCUACAUCCCUCCAUAUUGCUCGACCACCAUUGCGCCAUUUGGCAUCUUCGGUACUAACUGAGAAGAGAAGAACUCUAGUACUAGAUAUAUGAAACACCGUGUUCUUAGUCCAUGGUUUGGUCGUUGUACCGUUGAAAAUAUAAGGUGACAUGCACUAUCAUGUAAGAACCCGAACUAUACUAGUUCAAACUUGGGAAUAAAAGACAAACACAUGUCUUGUCUGCAUAUGAUUGUUUAUUUGAGUUCCAUUCCUAUGCCCAUUCACAAGUUCACCCCUAAUUAUAUAUAUUACACAUUAAGUAGAUAUUUAUGUUGCAUUAAUCUGAAGAUAACAAAGUGAGUCUGAAACUUGAAUUAUUUUCUUGGACUUUCAAAUUGUGUAUUAUUAAAGUAGUAAGGACUAUCCACAUCCUUGGCUUGCCCUUGAUCAAUUAUUCCCAGAGAAGCUUUCAGUUCAUAAAUCAAUUACAUUGAUUUUUGUGAAUGGUACAUCUCCUCAUCACGAGUAUCAUUACGGCUACUCCAAAUCGCCCACAUAACCGAAGCAUUAAUAGCGCCCUUCUUGCAUCCGGAAAUAUGGAUCGAAGAUAUCACUUGACCAUGUUUCCAGGUGCAACCUUGGGAUUUUUAUGUGAAAAUAUUCUCAAGCAAAAUCCAAGAAUAAACUUGCAUGCUCACGUGUGAUGAGGGCAGAUGAAGUAACAUUUCCUCCCCAUGGCCACACAUAGGGCACACACAUAACCCCAUCACAUGCCUUUUUAGUUAUGCAUAUGAAAGGUAGGAUGUUUUUAAUUACUCUCCACCAAAAUACUCUUAACUUGGCUUGUACCCUAAUAUUUCGUUGCCUUUUCAAUUGUUCUUCCCCAUUAGACAAAGUAGACAGUCCAUCUACCACACCGUACCUUGUGUCCAUCAUUGCUCUGUACAACAAUUGAACAGAACAAAUGUCAUUUCUUUACGAUACCCACGACCAAAUGUCCUCUGCUGGAUUGUUUGGUCGUGGCAUAUUAAGGAUGGCCACCUCAUCUCAUGGGGUAAACACCUAAUGAAUGAAAGGAUUGUUCUAGUCGCCCGUGUUUUUCAUCGAUAAGAUCAUCUACAAGUUGGACCGAAGUUUCUCACAUGCAUCAUAGUGGUUUCAUUAGCGGCGUGCCCUGCACCCAUUUAUCACGUCGUAUCUCUGUAGUAUGUGCAUUCCCAAUUUGUCACAGCAUACCCUCCUUCAAACCUUCUUUCCCUUUCAGAUUAGCACGCCAAGUUAGCUAUGCACUAUGCGGGAACCAGCAUUUGAAAAAAAAGAAUCUCAUUUCAUGGUAUCUUCCAUGAAGGACCCUCGUACAUUAGCUAUCUAGGUAGAAAUAGCCAUGUGUGUUUAGCAAACUUUAAAUAAGUGAAUAGAUCAAGGUCGUGGAACCCCAAGCCUCCAAUUACACAUGGCCUCUCUACCAAUAAGAUCUCCAAAGACAUCAAGGAUACAGACAGCCAAAAAAGAAAAUAAAAAUAAAAAAAAUAAAAAAUACCCUGCCAUGGUGAUCAAUCACAAGCAUCAACAGCACUCUAACCACCACCAAAGACAAUGCCCAGAUUACAAAAAAAAAUUAUCCAAAAACAAUGCCCCCAAGAAGGAAACAAUACACAAGCGUUGUCGUUGCCCGAUCGAAGAUCGUGGGUUUUCACCCUGGAAAAUUUUCGAGUUCACCCAAAAACAAUGCCUUCAACAAGGCCAUUGCCAAGUACAACAAAUAUGGUCGAGACCUUGGGUUUUCACCCUGGGAAUUGAGACUCGAUGCUCGAGGAGUACCAGCAAAAAUGCAGUCCACUAGUGUUGCCGCCCCCACUUGGCGAGGCCACUGUUGCAAGUCACCAAACACCUGGCAUAUAGUUGUCAUCGCAUCCAAUACACCCUUCGGCCGAAGCUUCAAGACCUUGAUCCGUCUCCAACGUAUCUAUAAUUUUUGAUUGUUCCAUGCUAUUAUAUUAUCUGUUUUGGAUGUUUUAUAUGCAUUAUUGUGCUAUUUUAUAUGAUUUUUGGGACUAACCUAUUAAACUAGAGCCCAGUGUCAGUUCCUGUUUUUUCCUUGUUUUAGAGUUUCGUAGAAAAGGAGUACCAAAUGGAGUCCAAAUGGAAUUAAACUUUUGCGAUGAUUUUUCUUAGACCAGAAGACAUCUAGAGGACUUGGAGUGCACGUUAAGAAAGCCACGAGGCUGCCACAACGACAGAGGUGUGCCCCCACCCUUGUGGGCCCCUUGUGACUCUACCGACAUAUUUCUUCCGCCUAUAUAUUCUCAAAUAUUCCAAAACAUACUAGGAGAGCCACAAAAACACUUUUCCACCGCCGCAACCUUCUAUACCCGUGAGAUCCCAUGUAGGGGCCUUUCCCAGCAUCCUGUCGGAGGGGGAUUCGAUCACUGAGGGCUUCUACAUCAACACCAUUGCCUCUCCGAUGAAGCGUGAGUAGUUUACCACAGACCUAUGGGUCCAUAGCUAGUAUCUAGAUGGCUUCUUCUCUCUCUUUGAUUCUCAAUACCAUGUUCUCCUCGAUGUUCUUGGAGAUCUAUUCGAUGUAAUACUCUUUUUGCGGUGUGUUUGCUAAGAUCCGAUGAAUUGUGGAUUUAUGAUCAGGUUAUCUAUGAGUAUUAUUUGAAUCUCCUAUGAAUUCUUAUAUGCAUGAUUUGAUAUCUUUGCAAGUCUCUUCGAACUACCGAUUUGGUUUGGCCAACUAGAUUGGUUUUUCUUGCAAUGGGAGAGGUGCUUAACUUUGGGUUCAAUCUUGCGGUGCUCGAUCCCAGUGACAGAAGGGGAUGAUACGUCUCCAACGUAUCUAUAAUUUUUUAUUGUUCCAUGCUAUUAUUUUAUCAACCUUGGAUGUUUUAUAUGCAUUUAUAUGCUAUUUUAUAUGAUUUUUGGAACUAACCUAUUAACCUAGAGCCCAGUGCUAGUGCCAGUUUCUGUUUUUUUCCUUGUUUUAGGGUUUCGAAGAAAAGGAAUAUCAAAUGGAGUCCAAACGGAAUGAAACCUUCGGAAAAGUUAUUUUUGGAAAGAAAGUAAUACGGUAGACUUGGAGUGCACGUCCGGGGAUCAACGAGGAAGCCACGAGGCAGGGGGCGCGCCCACCCAUCUUGGGCACGCCCUCCACCCUCGUGGCUCCCCAAAUGUAUUUCUUCCACCUAUAUAUAUAUCCAUAUACCCCAAAACGAUCGAGGAGCACAAUAGAUCGGGAGUUUCGCCGCCAGAAGCCUCCGUAGCCACCGAAAGCUAAUCUAGACCCGUUCCGGCACCCUACCGGAGGGGGAAUCCCUCUCCGGUGGCCAUCUUCAUCAUCCCGGUGCUCUCCAUGACGAGGAGGGAGUAGUUCUCCCUCGGGGCAAAGGGUAUGUACCAGUAGCUAUGUGUUUGAUCUCUCUCUCUCUCUCUCUCUCUCUCUCUCUCUCUCGUGUUCUUGAGGUGAUACGAUCUUGAUGUAUCGCGAGCUUUGCUAUUAGAGUUGGAUCUUAUGUUGCUUCUCCCCCUCUACUUUCUUGUAAUGGAUUGAGUUUCCCCUUCGAAGUUAUCUUAUCGGAUUGAGUCUUUAAAAAUUUCAAAACACUUGAUGUAUGUCUUGCCGCGCGUAUCUGUCGUGACAAUGGGAUAUCAUGUUAUUCACUUGAUGUAUGUUAUGGUGAUCAACAUGCGGGUUCCGCCCAUGAACCUAUGCAUAGGGGUUGGCACACGUUUUGAGGUUCUAUGUGUUGGUUGAAUAGAUGAAUCUAGAUUGUGUGAUGCAUAUCGUAUAAUCAUACCCACGGAUACUUCAGGUGACAAUGGAGUAUCUAGGUGGCAUUAGGGUUUUGGUUGAUUUGUGUCUUAAGGUGUUAUUCUAGUACGAAAUCUAGGACUGUUUGUGACACUUAUAGGAAUAGCCCAACGGAUUGAUUGGAAAGAAUAACUUUGAGGUGGUUUUGUACCCUACCAUAAUCUCUUCAUUCGUUCUCCGCUAUUAGUGACUUUGGAGUGACUCUUUGUUGCAUGUUGAGGGAUAAUUAUGUGAUCCAAUUAUGUUAUUAUUGUCGAGAGAACUUGCACUAGUGAAAGUAUGAACCCUAGGCCUUGUUUCGACGCAUUGCAAUACCGUUUACGCUCACUUUUAUCAUUAGUUACCUUGCUGUUUUUAUAUUUUCAAAUUACAAAAACCUUUAUCUACCAUCCAUAUACCACUUGUAUCACCAUCUCUUCACCGAACUAGUGCACCUAUACAAUUUACCAUUGUAUUGGGUGUGUUGGGGACACAAGAGACUCUGUGUUAUUUGGUUGCAGGGUUGCUUGAGAGAGACCAUCUUCAUCCUACGCCUCCUACGGAUUGAUAAACCUUAGGUCAUCCACUUGAGGGAAAUUUGCUACUGUCCUACAAACCUCUGCACUUGGAGGCCCAACAACGUCUACAAGAAGAAGGUUGUGUAGUAGACACCAAGCUCUUUUCUGGCGCCGUUGCCGGGAAGGUGAGUGCUUGAAGGUAUAUAUUUAGAUCUUGCAAUUGAAUCUUUUUGUUUCUUGUUUUAGCACUAGUUUAGUUUAUAAAAGAAAACUACAAAAAAACGGAAUUGAGUUUACCUCACACGCUUCAUCUUUUUAAUAUCUUUCGUGAGUAUGAUGGAAAGAAAAAUUGUGCCAAAGUGUUAGAAGAAGAAUGCAUUAAAAUGUUUGGCAUUAAAUAUUUGAAUGAUGAGCAUUAUUGCAAUGUUGUUAGUAUGAAUUCCUUGAAUAUCCAUAGUGCUAAUGAUGAUUGCACUAGUUAUGAUGAAAAUGUCUCAUGUAAACAUGUCAAUUUUUGUGGAGUGCAUUGGGUUUGCAAGUACACACCAAUUAGGGAAGAUAGAUUUUGCAAGAGGCAUAAGUACUUAGAAACUAAAUUGUUGCAAGAAAGGCUAGAUGAAUGUGCUGAAAAUUUAAAUUUUCUUGGCCAUACUUGUGAGCUUUGCCAUGAACAUGGUCAUUUAACCAUCCGAUGCAAAUUGUUUCAUGAUCUAAUCAUUUCCAAAAAUUGUGAUGACUUGAUUUCCCUUGCACAUCAUAAUGAACUUAGUUUGCUUAUGGGUUAUGAAGAAAUGAAAUGUAUAACUAACUAUCUUCCAGUAUUUGCCCGUGAUAAACUUCUUGGAUUUGAUCUAGAGGAAAUUUAUAUGUAUUGUGCGGUGAAUUGCAUUGAAAACCCCUAUAUUGCCAAUUACAUAAAGAAAAGAAAACAAAUAGAGGAUGAACAGAAUACUAAUGAAAGGGAAGAAACCUUCCAAUAUCCUCCUAUUAUUUCUUAUAAUGAACUAGGUAACGAGGAGGAGCCUCCUAUUCAACCAAUCUCAUUAAUAAGGAGCUCCAAAAAGAGGAUUGAACCCACACACGAUGUAGUGAAGAAGAAGAAAAGAAAGAGGAAGAGAGGUAAGAAGAUAUCUCUCCCAAAUAAUGCUGCUCCUAUUACUAUUGUGCCUCAUGAAAAUAUAAUUGUGGAAGAUAAUGAUACUUCUUAUGAUCUUGAUAAUCCUUUUGUCACUUGCUUGGAAGAAUAUGAUAAUUGCUAUACUAUUGGUUCUAUCCAUACUAUUAAUGAUGAGAGUGAUUAUGCUUAUGAUAUGAAAAGGCCCAAGCUUUGGGAUGCUAUGUUGGAUGAAGAUGAUGUUUUUGAGAAUAUAUUUGCUACAAUUAAUGUUUGUCCCAAGCUUGGGGAUGCUACGUUUAAUCAAGAUGAUAUUUUUAGUCUCCCAAGUUUUGAUAUGCAAAUUUAUAAUGAUGAUAGCAUGCCUCCUACUUAUGAUGAUUAUUGUGAUGAUACUUAUGCUAUAAAAAGUAGUGAUUAUAUUUAUAAAACUUGUCAUGAUUAUGGUUACCCCUUUUCUGAACAUUACUCUUUUAAUGUGGAAACAAUUUAUAGUAUUCGAGUUUCUUAUGAUACUCCCACUAUUCCGAAUGAGAAGAAUUUUGCUUGUGUAGAGAGUAAUAAAAUUUCUAUGCUUGUAGAUCAUGAAAAGAAUGCUUUAGGUUCUGGUUAUAUUUUUGAAUUCAUUCAUGAUGCUGCUGAAAAUUAUUAUGAGGGAGGAACAUAUGCUUGUAGGAAUUGCAAUAAUAUCAAGUUUCCUCUCUAUGUGCUUAAAGUUUUGAAGUUAUGCUUGUUUUGCCCUCCUAUGCUAGUUGAUUAUUGUUCCCAUAAGUUGUUUGCUCACAAAAUCCCUAUGCAUAGGAAGUGGGUUAGACUUACAUGUUCUAGUCAUAUGCUUCAUGAUGCUCUCUUUAUGUUUCAAUUCUUAUCUUUUAUGUGAGCAUCAUUGAAAUCAUCAUGCCUAGCUAGGGGCGUUAAACGAUAGCGCUUGUUGGGAGGAAACCCAACUUUAUUUUUGUUCCUUGAUUUUUGCUCCUGUCUAGCAAUAAAUAAUUUAUCUAGCCUCUGUUAUGAUUGAGUUUUUAUGUUAGAACCGUUGGGAAGACUUGGGGAAAGUCUUGGCGAUCAUGCUGUAAAAAAACAGAAACUUUAGCGCUCACGAGAACUGCUGACAUUUUUUAUUGGAGAGUGCUAUUUGGUUAAUUAUUUUUGCAGAUGAUUAAUAGAUAAAUUCCUCAUGUCCAGCAAUUUAUUUUAGAAUUUUUGGGGCUCCAGAAGUUUGCGUUAGUUACAGAUUACUACAGACUGUUCUGUUUUUGACAGAUUCUGUUUUUCGUGUGUUGUUUGCUUAUUUUGAUGAAUCUAUGGCUAGUAAAAUAGUUUAUAAACCAUAGAGAAGUUGUAAUACAGUAGGUUUAACACCAAUAUAAAUAAAUAAUGAGUUCAUUACAGUACCUUGAAGUGGUGUUUUAUUUUCUUUCGCUAACGGAGCUCAUGAGUUUUCCAUUUUAAGUUUUGUGUUGUGAAGUUUUCAAGUUUUGGGUAAAGAUUUGAUGGAUUAUGGAAUAAGGAGUGGCAAGAGACUAAGCUUGGGGAUGCCCAAGGCACCCCAAGGUAAUAUUCAAGGACAACCAAAAGCCUAAGCUUGGGGAUGCCCCGGAAGGCAUCCCCUCUUUCGUCUUCGUUCAUCAGUAACUUUACUUGGAGCUAUAUUUUUAUUCACCACAUGUUACGUGUUUUGCUUGGAGCGUCAUUUUAUUUCAUUUUGUUUUGCUUGCUGUUUGAAUAAAGUAUCAAGAUAUGAAAUUAUUAAGUGGGAGAGUCUUCACAUAGUUGCAUAAGUAUUCGACUACUCAUUGAUCUUCACUUACAUCUUUCAGAGUAGUUUGUCAUUUGCUCUAGUGCUUCACUUAUAUCUUUUGAGAGCACGGUGGUGGUUUUAUUUUGUAGAAAUAGAUGAACUCUCGUGCUUCACUAAUAUUAUUUUGAGAGUCCUUAGAACAGCAUGGUAAUUUGCUUUGGUUAUGAAUUUAGUCCUAAUAUGAUGGGCAUCCAAGAGGGAUAUAAUAAAAACUUUCAUAUAAGUGCAUUGAAUACUAAGAGAAGUUUGAUACUUGAUGAUUGUUUUGAGAUAUGGAGAUAGUGAUAUUAAAGUUGUGCUAUUUGAGUAGUUGUGAAUUUGAGAAAUACUUGUGUUGAAGUUUGCAAGUCCCGUAGCAUGCACGUAUGGUAAACGUUAUGUAACAAAUUUGAAACAUGAGGUGUUCUUUGAUUGUCCUCCUUAUGAAUGGCGGUCGGGGACGAGUGAUGGUCUUUUCCUACCAAUCUAUCCCCCUAGGAGCAUGCAUGUAGUGCUUGGUUUUUGAUGACUUGUAGAUUUUUGCAAUAAGUAUGUGAGUUCUUUAUGACUAAUGUUGAGUCCAUGGAUUAUAUGCAUUCUCACCCUUCCAUCAUUGCUAGCCUCUUCGGUACCGUGCAUUGCCCUUUCUCACAUUGAGAGUUGGUGCAAACUUCGCUGGUGUAUCCAAACCCCGUGAUAUGAUACACUCUUUCACACAUAAACCUCCUUAUAUCUUCCUCAAAACAGCCACCAUACCUACCUAUUAUGGCAUUUCCAUAGCCAUUCUGAGAUAUAUUGCCAUGCAACUUUCCACCAUUCUGUUUAUCAUGACACAUUCAUCAUUGUCAUAUUGCUUAGCAUGAUCAUGUAGUUGACAUAGUAUUUGUGGCAAAGCCACCAUUCAUAAUUAUUUCAUACAUGUCACUCUUGGUUCAUUGCAUAUCCCGGUACACCGCCGGAGGCAUUCAUAUAGAGUCAUAUCUUGUUCUAGUAUCGAGUUGUAAUCUUUGAGUUGUAAAUAAAUAGAAGUGUGAUGAUAAUCAUUAAUAGAGCAUUGUCCCAAAAAAAGGAAGAGAAAGGCCAAAUAAAAAAGGGAAGCCCCCCCAAAAAAAGAAAAGAAAGGCCAAAAAAAAGAAAGGCCAGAUAAAAAAAUAAAAAAAUAAAAAAAUAAAAGGGACAAUGCUACUAUCCUUUUUCCACACUUGUGCUUCAAAGUAGCACCAUGAUCGUUAUGAUAGAGAGUCUCUUGUUUUGUCACUUUCAUAUACUAGUGGGAACUUUUUAUUAUAGAACUUGGCUUGUAUAUUCCAACAAUGGGCCUCCUCAAGUGCCCAAGGUCUUUGUGAGCAAGCAAGUUGGAUGCACACCCACUUAGUUUCUUUUGUUGAGCUUUCAUACAUUUAUGGCUCUAGUGCAUCCGUUGCAUGUCAAUCCCUAAUACUUGCAUUAACAUCAAUUUAUGGGCAUCUCCCUAGCCCAUUGAUUAGCCGCGUCGAUGUGAGACUUUCGUCUUUUUGUCUUGUCCACAUAACCCCCUCAUUAUAUUCUAUUCCACCCAUAGUGCUAUAUCCAUGGCUCACGCUCAUGUAUUGCGUGAAAGUUGAAAAAAGUUUGAGAUUACUAAAGUAUGAAACAACUGCUUGGGUUGUCAUCGGGGUUGUGCAUGAUGAGAGCAUUCUUGUGUGACGAAAAUGGAGCAUGGCCAAACUAUAUGAUUUUGUAGGGAUGAACUUUCUUUGGCCAUGUUAUUUUGAAAAGACAUGAUUGCUUAGUUAGUAUACUUGAAGUAUUAUUAUUUUUAUGUCACUAUUAAACUUUUGUCUUGAAUCUUAUGGAUCUGAAUAUUCUUGCCACAAUAAAGAGAACUACAUGGAUAAAUAUGUUAGGUAGCAUUCCACAUCAAAAAUUCUGUUUUUAUCUUAUACCUACUCGAGGACGAGCAGGAAUUAAGCUUGGGGAUGCUGAUACGUCUCCAACGUAUCUAUAAUUUUUAUUGUUCCAUGCUAUUAUAUUAUCAACCUUGGAUGUUUUAUAUGCAUCUUUAUGCUAUUUUAUAUGAUUUUUGGGACUAACCUAUUAACCUAGAGCCCAGUGCUAGUUUCUGUUUUUUCCUUGUUCUAGGGUUUCGAAGAAAAGGAAUAUCAAACGGAGUCCAAACGGAAUGAAACCUUCAGAAAAGUUGUUUUUGGAAAGAAAGCAAUACGGGAGACUUGGAGUGCACGUCAGGGGAUCAACGAGGAAGCCACAAGGCAGGGGGCACGCCCACCCCCUGGGCGCGCCCUCCACCCUCGUAGGCCCCUCGUGGCUCCCCUGAUGCAUUUCUUCCACCUAUAUGUACCAAUAUACCCUAAAACGAUCGGGGAGCACAAUAGAUCGGGAAUUCCGCCGCCAGAAGCCUCCGUAGCCACCAAAAGCCAAUCUAGACCCGUUCCGGCACCCUGCCGGAGGGUGAAUCCCUCUCCGGUGGCCAACUUUAGCAUCCCGGUGCUCUCCAUGACGAGGAGGGAGUAGUUCUCCCUCGGGGCUGAGGGUAUGUACCAGUAGCUAUGUGUUUGAUCUCUCUCUCUCUCUCUCUCUCUCUCUCGUGUUCUUGAGGUGAUACGAUCUUGAUGUAUCACGAGCUUUGCUAUUAUAGUUGUAUCUUAUGUUUCUUCUCCUCCUCUACUCUCUUGUAAUGGAUUGAGUUUCCCCUUCGAAGUUAUCUUAUCGGAUUGAGUCUUUAAAGAUUUGAGAACACUUGAUGUAUGUCUUGCCGUGCGUAUCUGUGGUGACAAUGGGAUAUCACGUGAUUCACUUGAUGUAUGUUUUCGUGAUCAACAUGCGGGUUCCGCCCAUGAACCUAUGCAUAGGGGUUGGCACACGUUUUCGUCGUGAUUCUUCGGUAGAAACUUUGGUGCACUCUUUGAGGUUCUAUGUGUUGGUUGAAUAGAUGAACCUGAGAUUGUGUGAUGCAUAUCGUAUAAUCAUACCCACAGAUACUUGAGGUGACAAUGGUUUGCUCACAAAAUCCCUAUGCAUAGGAAGUGGGUUAGACUUAAAUGUUCUAGUCAUAUGCUUCAUGAUGCUCUCUUUAUGUUUCAGUUCUUAUCUUUUAUGUGAGCAUCAUUGAAAUCAUCAUGCCUAGCUAGGGGCGUUAAACGAUAGUGCUUGUUGGGAGGAAACCCAACUUUAUUUUUGUUCCUUGCUUUUUGCUCCUGUUUAGCAAUAGAUAACUUAUCUAGCCUCUGUUAUGAUUGAGUUUUUAUGUUUUAAUUAGUGUUUGUGCCAAGUAGAACCAUUGGGAAGACUUGGGGAAAGUCUUUGCGAUCAUACUGUAAAAAACAGAAACUUCAGCGCUCACGAGAAUUGAUGGGCAUCUCCCUAACCCAUUGAUUAGCCGCGUCGAUGUGAGACUUUCUCCUUUAUGUCUUCUCCACAUAACCCCCUCAUUAUAUUAUAUUCCACCCAUAGUGCUAUAUCCAUGGCUCGCGCUCAUGUAUUGCGUGAAAGUUGAAAAAAGUUUGAGAUUACUAAAGUAUGAAACAAUUGUUUGGCUUGUCAUCUGGGUUGUGCAUGAUGAGAGCAUUCUUGUGUGACGAAAAUGGAGCAUGACGAAACUAUAUGAUUUUGUAGGGAUGAACUUUCUUUGGCCAUGUUAUUUUGAGAAGACAUGAUUGCUUAGUUAGUAUGCUUGAAGUAUUAUUAUUUUUAUGUCAAUAUUAAACUUUUUUCUUGAAUCUUAUGGAUUUGAAUAUUCUUGCCAGAAUAAAGAGAACUACAUGGAUAAAUAUGUUAGGUAGCAUUCCACAUCAAAAAUUCGGUUUCAUUAGCGGCGUGCCCUGCACCCAUUUAUCACGUCGUAUCUCUGUAGUAUGCGCAUUCCCAAUUUGUCACGACAUACCCUCCUUCAAACCUUCUUGCCCUUUCAGAUUAGCACGCCAAGCUAGCUAUGCACUAUGCGGGAACCUGCAUUUGAAAAAAAAAGAAUCUCAUUUCAUGGUAUCUUCCAUGAAGGACCCUCGUACAUGAGCUAUCUAGAUAUAAAUAGCCCUGUAUGUUUAGCAAACUUUGCAUAAGUGAAUAGAUCAAGGUCGUGGAACCCCAAGCCUCCAAUUACACACGGCCUCUCUACCAAUAAGAUCUCCAAAGACAUCAAGGAUACAAACAGCCAAAAAAGAAAAUAAAAAGGAAAAAAAUAAAAAAUACCCCACCAUGGUGAUCAAUCACAAGCAUCAGCAGCACUCUAACCACCACCAAAGACAACGCCCAGAUUACAAAAAAAAAUCUCGAAAAGCAAUGCCCCCAAGAAGGAAACAAUACACAAGCGUUGUCGUUGCCCGAUCGAAGAUCGUGGGUUUUCACCCUGGAAAAUUUUUGAGUUCACCCAAAAACAAUGCCUUCAACAAGGCCAUUGCCAAGUACAACAAAUAUGGCCAAGACCUUGGGUUUUCACCCUAGGAAUUGAGAGUCGAUGCUCGAGGAGUACCACCAAAAAUGCAGUCCACUAGUGUUGCCGCCCCCACUUGGCGAGGCCGCUGUUGCAAGUCACCAAACACCUGGCAUAUAGUUGUCAUCGCAUCCAAUACACCCUUCGGCCGAAGCUUCAAGACCUUGAUCCGUCUCCAACGUAUCUAUAAUUUUUGAUUGUUCCAUGCAAUUAUAUUAUCUGUUUUGGAUGUUUUAUAUGAGUAGGGCGUUUUGGUGCCCAGGCUCAUCUGCACCCGGUUAGAAAAAAUUCAUAAAAAAUUGAAACAAAUUCAAAAAAUUCCAAAUAAAAUUUGUAUGGUAGACAAUUUGAUGCGUGAGGCCCGCCACAAAUUUCAAGUCAUUUGGACAUAUGAGAAGCUCUCAGCAAAAAAGACAAAUCGGACCAAAAUAGUACAUGAGCAGUAAACAUUUUUACAGACCCUCAAUUUGUCUUUUUUGCUGAGAGCUGCUCAUAUAUUCAAAUGACUUGAAAUUUGGAGCGGGCCCCGCACAUCAAAAUUUCUAUCACACAAAUUUUAUUUGGAAUUUUUUGAAUUUUUCUAGUAUUUGUUUUGAUUUUUUUCAUCGGCACGGGUGCAGAUGAGCUCAGGUGCAGAAAUGGAUUUUCGGUUUUAUAUGCACUAUUAUGCUAUUUUAUAUGAUUUUUGGGACUAACCUAUUAAACUAGAGCCGAGUGCCAGUUCCUGUUUUUUCCUUGUUUUAGAAUUUCACAGAAAAGGAAUACCAAACGGAGUCCAAACGGAAUGAAACGUUUGCGAUGAUGUUUCUUAGACCAGAAGACAUCUAGAGGACUUGGAGUGCACGUUAGGAAAGCCAUGAGGUGGUCACAAUUACGGAGGGCGCGCCCCCACCCAUGUGGGCUCCUCGUGACUGUACCGACCUAUUUGUCCGCAUAUAUAUUCUCAAAUAUUCCAAAACCUACUAGGAGAGCCACAAAAACACUUUUCCACCGUCGCAACCUUCUGUACGCAUGAGAUCCCAUCUAGGGGCCUUUUCUGGCAUCCUGUCGGAGGGGGAUUCGAUCACGGAGGGCUUCUACAUCAACACCAUUGCCUCUCCGAUGAAGCGUGAGUAGUUUACCACAGACCUAUGAGUCCAUAGCUAGUAUCUAGACGGCUUCUUCUCUCUCUUUGAUUCUCAAUACCAUGUUCUCUUCGAUGUUCUUGGAGAUCUAUUCGUUGUAAUACUCUUUUUGCGGUGUGUUUGCCGAGAUCUGAUGAAUUGUGGAUAUAUGAUCAGGUUAUCUAUGAAUAUUAUUUGAAUCUCCUAUGAAUUCUUAUAUGCAUGAUUUGAUAUCUUUGCAAGUCUCUUCGAACUAUCAAUUUGGUUUGGCCAACUAGAUUGGUUUUUCUUGCAAUGGGAGAAGUGCUUAACUUUGGGUUCAAUCUUGCGUCUCCAAUGUAUCCCAGUGACAGAAGGGGAUGAUACGUCUCCAACGUAUCUAUAAUUUUUGAUUGUUCCAUGCUAUUAUAUUAUCAACCUUGGAUGUUUUAUAUGCAUUUAUAUGCUAUUUUAUUUGAUUUUUGGGACUAACCUAUUAACCUAGAGCCCAGUGCCAGUGCCAGUUUCUGUUUUUUCCUUGUUUUAGGGUUUCAAAGAAAAGGAAUAUCAAAAAGAGUCCAAACGGAAUGAAACCUUCGGAAAAGUUAUUUUUGGAAAGAAAGCAAUACGAGAGACUUGGAGUGCACGUCAGGGGAUCAACGAGGAAGCCACGAGGCAGGGGCGCGCCCACCCCCCUGGGCGCGCCCUCCACCCUCGUGGCUCCCCUAAUGUAUUUCUUCCGCCUAUAUAUAUAUCCAUAUACCCUAAAACGAUCGGGGAGCAUAAUAGAUCGGGUGUUCCGCCACAAGAAGCCUCCGUAGCCACCGAAAGCCAAUCUAGACCCAUUCCGGCACCCUGCCGGGGGAGGAAUCCCUCUCCGGUGUCCAUCUUCAUCAUCCCGGUGCUCUCCAUGACGAGGAGGGAGUAGUUCUCCCUCGGGGCUGAGGGUAUGUACCAGUAGCUAUGUGUUUGAUGUCUCUCUCUCUCUCUCUCUCUCUCUCUCUCUCUCUCUCUCUCUCGUGUUCUUGAGGUGAUACGAUCUUGAUGUAUCGCGAGCUUGGCUAUUAGAGUUGGAUCUUAUGUUUCUUCUCCCCCUCUACUCUCUUGUAAUGGAUUGAGUUUCCCCUUCGAAGUUAUCUUAUCGGAUUGAGUCUUUAAAGAUUUGAGAACACUUGAUGUAUGUCUUGCCGUGCGUAUCUGUGGUGACAAUGGGAUAUCACGUGAUUCAUUUGAUGUAUGUUUUGGUGAUCAAGUUGCGGGUUCCACCCAUGAACCUAUGCAUAGGGGUUGGCACACAUAUUCGUCAUGAUUCGCAGAAACUUUGGGGCACUCUUUGAGGUUCUAUGUGUUGGUUGAAUAGAUGAAUCUGAGAUUGUGUGAUGCAUAUCGGAUAAUCAUACCCACGGAUACUUGAGGUGACAAUGGAGUAUCUAGGUGACAUUAGGGUUUUGGUUGAUUUGUGUCUUAAGGUGUUAUUCUAGUACGAACUCUAGGGCUGUUUGUGACACUUAUAGGAAUAGCCCAAUGGAUUGAUUGGAAAGAAUAACUUGGAGGUGGUUUCAUACCCUACCAUAAUCUCUUCGUUCGUUCUCCGCUAUUAGUGACUUUGGAGUGAUUCUUUGUUGCAUGUUGAGGGAUAGUUAUGUGAUCCAAUUAUGUUAUUAUUGUUGAGAGAACUUGCACUAGUGAAAGUAUGAACCCUAGGCCUUGUUUCAACGCAUUGCAAUACCGUUUACGCUCACUUUUAUCAUUAGUUACCUUGUUGUUUUUAUAUUUUCAGAUUACAAAAACCUUUAUCUACCAUCCAUAUACCACUUGUAUCACCAUCUCUUCGCCGAACUAGUGCACCGAUACAAUUUACCAUUGUAUUGGGUGUGUUGGGGACACAAGAGACUCUUUGUUAUUUGGUUGCAGGGUUGGUUGAGAGAGACCAUCUUCAUCCUACGCCUCCUACGGAUUGAUAAACCUUAGGUCAUCCACUUGAGGAAAAUUUGCUACUGUCCUACAAACCUCUGCACUUGGAGGCCCAACAACGUCUACAGGAGGAAGGUUGUGUUGUAGACAUCAGGGGAACCGACACAUAUUGUAGUGUUUCCAUCGAGGAUAACAAGAUGGGGUUUUCGUCAUAUUGCUUGAGUUUAUCCCGCUACAUCAAGUCAUCUUACUUAAUGCGUUAUCCUGUUCUUAUGAACUUAGUACUCUAGAUGCAGGCAGGAGUCAGUGGAUGUGUGGAGUAAUAGUAGUAGAUGCAAGCAGGAGUCAGUCUACUUGAUACAAACGUGAUGCUUAUGUUCAUGAUCAUUGCCUUAGAUAUCGUCAUAAGUUUGCACUUUUCAAUCAAUUGCUCAGCAGUAAUUUGUUCACCCACCAUAAGAUUUUCUAUCUUGAGAGAAGCCUCUAGUGAAACUUAUGGCCCCGGGGUCUACUUUCCAUCAUAUAAGUUUCCGAUCUACAAAUGUGUUGGUUGAAUAGAUGAAUCUGAGAUUGUGUGAUGCAUAUCGUAUAAUCAUACCCACGGAUACUUGAGGUGACAAUGGAGUACCUAGGUGACAUUAGUGUUUUGGUUGAUUUAUGUCUUAAGGUGUUAUUCUAGUACGAACUCUAGGGCUGUUUGUGACACUUAUAGGAAUAGCCCAACGGAUUGAUUGGAAAGAAUAACUUUGAGGUGGUUUCGUACCCUACCAUAAUCUCUUCGUUCGUUCUCCGCUAUUAAUGACUUUGGAGUGACUCUUUGUUGCAUGUUGAGGGAUAGUUAUGUGAUCCAAUUAUGUUAUUAUUGUUGAGAGAACUUGCACUAGUGAAAGUAUGAACCCUAGGCCUUGUUUCAACGCAUUGCAAUACCGUUUACGCUCACUUUUAUCAUUAGUUACCUUGCUGUUUUUAUAUUUUCAGAUUACAAAAACCUUUAUCUACCAUCCAUAUACCACUUGUAUCACCAUCUCUUCGCUGAACUAGUGCACCUAUACAAUUUACCAUUGUAUUGGGUGUGUUGGGGACACAAGAGACUCUUUGUUAUUUGGUUGCAGGGUUGCUUGAGAGAGACCAUCUUCAUCCUACGCCUCCUAUGGAUUGAUAAACCUUAGGUCACCCACUUGAGGGAAAUUUGCUACUGUCCUACAAACCUCUGCACUUGGAGGCCCAACAACGUCUACAAGAAGGUUGUGUAGUAGACAUCAGGGGAACCGACACAUAUUGUAUUGUUUCCAUCGAGGAUAACAAGAUGGGGUUUUCGUCAUAUUGCUUGAGUUUAUCCCGCUGCAUCAAGUCAUCUUACUUAAUGCGUUAUCCUGUUCUUAUGAACUUAAUACUCUAGAUGUAGGCAGGAGUCGGUGGACGUGUGGAGUAAUAGUAGUAGAUGCAAGCAGGAGUCAGUCUAGUUGAUACAAACGUGAUGCUUCUGUUCAUGAUCAUUGCCUUAGAUAUCGUCAUAACUUUGCGCUUUUAUAUCAAUUGCUCAACAGUAAUUUGUUCACCCACCGUAAGAUUUUCUAUCUUGAGAGAAGCCUCUAGUGAAACUAUGGCCCCGGGGUCUACUUUCCAUCAUAUAAGUUGCCGAUCUACAAUUUUAGUUUCCUAUCACUUCCUUUGCAAUCUUUUACUUUCCGUUCCAUAAAUCAAAAAUACCAAAAAUAUUACUUUACCGAUUAUCCAUCUCUAUCAGAUCUCGCUUUGCAAAUAACCAUGAAGGAUUGACAACCCCUUUAUCGCAUUGGGUGUAAGGUGCUAUUUCUUUGUGCAGGUCAGUGACUUGUGCAUUGUCUCCUACUGGAUUGAUACCUUGGUUCUCAAAACUGAGGGAAAUACUUACUCUACUUUGCUGCAUCACCCUUUCCACUUCAAGGGAAAAACCAACGCAAGCUCAAGAGGAAGUAGGAAGAAUUUCUGGCACCGUUGCCGGGGACAUCUACGCCAAGUCAAGACAUACCAAGUACCCAUCAUAAACUCUCAUCUCUGGCAUUAUAUUAUUUGCCAUUCACCUCUCGUUUUCCUCUCCCCCACUUAUAAAAUGAUUUGCCUUUUCUUCGCCCUCUUCCAUUCGUCUUCUUCGCUUGCUUUUUGUGUGCUCAUGUGUUGGAUUGCUUGCUUUGUCACGAUGUCUCAAGAGAAUACCAAAUUGUGUGACUUUUCCAAUACCAACAACAAUGAUUUUAUUAGUACCCCGAUUGCUCCCGCUACUAAUGCGGAAUCUUGUGAAAUUAAUGCUGCUUUGCGGAGUCUUGUUAUGAAAGAUCAAUUUUCCGGCCUUCCCAAUGAAGAUGCCGCAUCCCAUCUAAACAAUUUCGUUGAUUUGUGUGUUAUGAAAAAGAAAAAAGAUAUGGAUAAUGAUAUUGUUAAAUUGAAGCUAUUUCCGUUGUCACUUCGAGAUCGUGCUAAAACUAGGUUUUCAUCUUUGCCUAAAAAUAGCGAGUGUCAUUUUUUAAUGCGAGUGAUUAGUUUUUAAAGAAUGAUUGGCAUUCUUUCUUAAUUGCUCAUCUACUAAUCGUUUGGCGUGUUUUCUUAUCUUGUCAAAAUCAUAUCCCCUGGCUGUAAAUAUCAAAGAAUAAUUUCAUUUGUUGGGCUUGGACUGUACUGUCCGAGAGUCAGAGUAUAAAUACCAUACGAUUUCAAGAGCAAUAGCAACGGGGCAACCAUUAGUCCAUACUCUACACCAUAUGGCUAGAAAUUUUAUAUUAUAUAUAACAAAGUUGUGACAAAUUGGAAAUGGAAAACAAUAAAAUGAAUAUGUUGCUAUAGGUUAUUAUUAUUACACAUGCACGUGUAUCUUGAUCCUUGCUUGGACAUAGGGUCCGAGGAAGUUACAUUGCUUUGACUACUGAUAUUGUUUGUGUCAAAGUGUGCCACAAUGGCAUAAAUAUUGUCGUUGCAUAAUGGGAAACCACGUCAUAUUUAUCGAUGAUAUGUGGAAAUAGGGAUGAGCUACUUUAUGAAGAUAUAUAAGGAUGUAUGGGUUACGUUGGUGGAAAAUGUUGUUAUGAACACAAAUGCAGUUGCAUUUAUCCUGCAUUCGCGGUGAAGUGCGCUAUUGUGGCAUAUAUCUUCCUUUUUGCCACAGAAGCAUGGUAGAAUUAUAAAGAGAGUAUGUUUCUAUAGACAUUUCAAAAAGGAGAUUUGUGUAUACUCUCAUUAUACUGUAAGCACCAUAGAUUAUUCAGAUUAGAAGUUGUUGUCUCUACCACAUAUUUAUAUUUUCUAUACAUACUAAUAUCGCAUAGAAAAUCAUGUAUUUAUAUGAGAUCUUUGUGGUGCAUGAUAAAGCAAGAUUCCUUUUGUUAUUGCAGCAAUUUAUAAGUAUUUAAAUAUAUACUAAUAGCUAGUUUCUUCUGUGUUAUAAGGACAAAAUAAGACAUGCAUAGACAUGCAAAUACGUAUUAGAAAUCUGCUACUCCAAAUGUAUCAUGUUAAUCCAUGUAAGCCACGAAUCGCGUGCAUAUCAGGCAAAGCAGUUUUUUUUGUAAAAACAAUACAUAAUACUAAUCGAUGGUAUAGACGAUUCAAUACAUAUGCAUCAAGACACCGCUACCUUGCACAUAGUGAUAUAGGAUGGAAUUGAAUCUGAUCCGCUCCUUUCCAACUUAAUCGAGUAAUGUGUACUUCUCAUAAAUAGGCAUGUAUAUAGUAAUUGUUCUUUUGACCAAAUGCUUGGUAUAUUAAUGAUCACAUUAUACAUUUAUGUAACAUUUCUUACUUGCGAAAUCUUUUACAAAUUGGAAUAUGGGAAUUUUAUUAAUACCUAGAAGAAAUACUACUAUUCAGAAAAUAUAAUAACUGGUACUAUACUUUUUCUUAAUAUUGGUACUAUACUUAAUUGGACCAAAAGUUACACAUAUUUUUGAUUAGUUCAUUUUUUUCUACAGAUUUAUCAGCGCCAUUAUUUCUCUAUGGUUGACAUGUAUAUGAACUACUGUCUGUAUAUAUUGAUCUGCAUUUAGACAAAUAUCAGGGACAAACACACAUACUGUUUAGCAUGUGUAGUUGUAAAGGUAGAAUACUGAUUUGUAGUAUUAAGCAAAUACAUUUAUAAGAUCUUACUACAAUGUAUAUGGAUUGAGAAUCAGAGAAAUAACCAAGUGUUGUGCAAGGAUCAUUCUGACUAUCCAGUGGCAGAAUAAAAAUAGGAUGCUAAGCGCGGGGAGAAUACAUAUGUCCUAUAAACCUGCAAAUAAGAAGCAUCCAUUCACCAUAUAUUAAAAUUCCAAAUUUGAUAGUUCCUUUGCAUGUUGGAAAUAAGCUUUGCCCCUUGUGAUAUGGAUUAUCACGUAGAAUGGAAAGAGGAGAAAAAAAUUAUGGCUUAGCAGAAUCAAUGAGGGAAAGCACUACAUGUGAAGUAUCAAAACGUUGUGAUAGCACGAACCCCACCAGAUUUGAACUCGUGCUCUUAGUAUGACAUGAAAAGAGGGGCUACUCUCCAAUCGAAGUGAAAAUAGUAGAACUUUGAACUUAUAUAUAUAUACGCUUAAAAAUUCUAAAAGCAAAUGGUCAAAAACUCAGAAUAGCUUGAGCGGGCACUACUUGCUAACUCAAGCACAUGGCAACACAGUAUUAAGUCAAGAUUUUGCAACCGAGAGGGAAAGUCAAAUAAAUAAAUAAAUAAGGAUUCUCAUCAAACCUGUGAAUCCAAGCUAGUAUAUAACUAUUGUAUUGCCCAUUGUUUGCAUAGGCGGUAAACAAUUCUGUGUCGGUUUGCAUUUCCAGAUGUGGCUCUAUAUCCUCCCCUUCUAUCGGAAUGCCAAAUAUACCUUGCACGUCCUCUUUUGUUAUAGGAAUUGGCGUUUUACCGAUGGUAAUGGAUUGCGUGUCCAUAUCUAUGCUCUUGGCUAGUCUAACCAACAUUAUGCGCCGUAGAGUCACUUCAUGCAUCUGGGUCAGACCGGCAAGACUGGUUUCUGAUAUGAUGUACUUUCUGUGGUCUUGUGACAACAGUUUCAUGGUUUUUCCGAACCUUGUCUGUGAGCAUACUAACUUCAUAUGACCAUGCUUUUCGGCGAGUUCCUGUUACAUGCCAUUAAAUAUUACUGAGUACACAUGAAUUAUGUGUACGAAACGAUUGUACCCAAACAGUAAAUUACUUACCGCAUCGGUAAUUUCGGAGAUGGGCUUUUCUCCAUUAUUAAGGUUCGUAUCUGAAACUGACAUUGCUGCCUCGUAUGCAAUGAUAAAAUCAGGCUCAAUUAAUCUGAACAAAAUUGGAAAAUGUAUAACAAAAUUAGCAGAGAAUUAAUUUUAACAAAAUUAACUGGGUCAUUUAACAUAUGAUCCACUUAUGGGUUUAAGCACAGAACCUAUUUGGGUGCAAAACCUAUGAGGGUUCAACAACUAAAGCAUCGGCGGACAACGAUUAUAAAGAGUUACAAUCAGCUAAGACCUUACCUCGGAGAUGGUGCCACCGAGUAGAUGGCGGCGGUUAGUGCGUCGGAAACUAUAAGUGCCGGUAUAGCGCGGUCGACGGCGCAAAGGAAAAACAGCAUGUUCACGCGAGGAGGAGGCGGCGAGAAGAACACUGACGUCCGAGCCCUUAGAUCACGUUGGCGGUGGGCGGCGAGUGGUGGCCGCCGACUCCUGUAUUCCGUGGGCGACCGGCGUCUCCGAUCUGAUCUUGCAGCGGUCGUGGGAGGUGCGGACGGCCCGGGUGGUUAGAAUGCGGAGCUGUAAUCGCGGGAUUUAGGGAGGGGUGGGCCGCGUGAGUUAUGUGAGAUUUGGAUAAAUGAUAUAAAGAAAUAAGAAAAUCUUGUGAACUCGAUGUGGGGUUUAUGGGGUUUAGGGUUUAGGGGUUUAGGGUUAUUAGGGUUUAGGGGUUUAGGGGUUUAGGGGUUUAGGGUUAUCAGGGGUUAGAGUUAUCAGGGUUUAGGGUUGAGUGUUUACAUGCAAGCCCGGAAAUGCGCGUGUCAGAGAACGUACUUGCAUGUAUAUGUACUAAUGAUCCCAAACUUUCUUAAUGGCAUCCCAUGACCACAUAGAGAAUGAAUGCAUAAUGGUUUCCAUGUUGGGCAAAAUUUUGAAUGUUUUUACGGUUUAGUGGGGGGGUGGGGUUAGGGUUAUGAGGGUUUAGGGUUUAAGGGUUCUAGGGUUGACGGAACUAUGUUUGUCUUACGGUGGACGUAGCACACACACCGGACAUUGGUGGAGCGUUGUCUACAAUGGACUCCCUCUGGUAGCAUCGAUCCGAUCCGUUGAAUGGCUCGGCCGACAAACUUCGUGCCAGAUAGAGCAUGCAUCCAUCCACUGGACCGGAUCAAUGUUGGGUUCGUUUCAUACAGGUGAGGAAAGCAGCUAGUGCUUUCGGGGUGUUGACAUGCUAGGCCAGAAAUGUGCGUGUCAGAUUUCGUACUUGCAUGUAUAAUCCCAAACUUUUUNNNNNNNNNNNNNNNNNNNNNNNNNNNNNNNNNNNNNNNNNNNNNNNNNNNNNNNNNNNNNNNNNNNNNNNNNNNNNNNNNNNNNNNNNNNNNNNNNNNNNNNNNNNNNNNNNNNNNNNNNNNNNNNNNNNNNNNNNNNNNNNNNNNNNNNNNNNNNNNNNNNNNNNNNNNNNNNNNNNNNNNNNNNNNNNNNNNNNNNNNNNNNNNNNNNNNNNNNNNNNNNNNNNNNNNNNNNNNNNNNNNNNNNNNNNNNNNNNNNNNNNNNNNNNNNNNNNNNNNNNNNNNNNNNNNNNNNNNNNNNNNNNNNNNNNNNNNNNNNNNNNNNNNNNNNNNNNNNNNNNNNNNNNNNNNNNNNNNNNNNNNNNNNNNNNNNNNNNNNNNNNNNNNNNNNNNNNNNNNNNNNNNNNNNNNNNNNNNNNNNNNNNNNNNNNNNNNNNNNNNNNNNNNNNNNNNNNNNNNNNNNNNNNNNNNNNNNNNNNNNNNNNNNNNNNNNNNNNNNNNNNNNNNNNNNNUUUAGGGUUAACGGAACUAUGUUUUUCUUACGGUGGACUUAGCACACACACCGGACAUUGAUGGAGCGUUGGUCUACAAUGAAUUCCCUCCGGUAGCAUCGAUCCGUUCCGUUGACUGGCUCGGACGACAAACUUCGUGCCACAUAGAGUAUGCAUCCAUCCACUAGACCGGAUCGAUGUUUGGUUGGUUUCAUACAGGUGAGGAACCCAGCUAGUGCUUUUGGGGUGUUGACAUGCUAGGCCGGAAAUGUGCGUGUCAGAGAUCGUACUUGCGUGUAUAAUCCCAAAAAUCUUUCAUGGCAUCCCAUGACCACAUAGAGAAUGCAUGCAUAAUGGUUUCCAUGUUGGGCAAAAUUUUGAAUGUUUUUACGGUUUAGUGGGGGGGGGUGGGGUUAGGGUUAUCAGGGUUUAGGGUUUACGGGUUCUAGGGUUGACGAAGCACACACACCGGACAUUGAUGGAGCGUUGGUCUACAAUGGAGUCCCUCCUGUAGCGUCGAUCUGGUCCGUCGACUGGCUCGGUCGACAUACUUCGUGCCACAUAGAGCAUGCAUGCAUCCACUGAACCGGAUCAAUGUUGGGUUGGUUUACAUGUACAUGUACACGGACCCGAAAUGCGCGUGUCAGAGAUCGUACUUGCGUGUACAUGUACCAUCCUUCCAUCCACUGGCUGGGCCGACAACCUUCAUGCCACAUUGUUCACAUUGUCCAAUUAACACUUUGUAUAGAUUUUUUUCAUAAAAAAUGAACGAAAUAAUGCAACUAAUCUGAACAUAACGUUUGGCAUAUAUCAAACCAAGUUGCCACUAUUCCUCAAAAAAAAGAACCCAGUUAGCCACUAAUUGCGCCAAACAUAUCUCGUAAUUACGAACGAAAAUGGGUUGACAAUUAUAUCUGGAAAUUCUUGGACUGAAUUUAAUGCUCUUCCUUUUUUAGAGAACAAUAAGUUAGAAUGGUGGGCGGCGGGUUGGCACGGGCACGGCCAUGGCUCGGGCUUGUGUCAUAUGUGGUUCGACCCGCGGUCAGUGCACAUGUUUUCGAAGCCCUGAAAAGAUCGUGCUCGUUAAAAAAAACUUGCAUCGACGCGCAUUACUUCAAAAUAACUAAUUAACCCUACAAUCACGGAUAUAGACCUUCCCAUUCUACCGCAUAUCUACCCUAUCCUAUCCACCCCAUCUACCUUGUUUCUCCUCACAUAGCCAUCGCCGGGAUCGCGCCAUCGCUUCUCAAGCGACCACGCCGACGCCGGAUUAAAAAGGUCUCUUCCACGGCUUCUCUCAUCUUCGAUUGCAGUGCUGAUUAUUUUUUCCAUUGAUUCGACCAACAAGUAAUUUCCGAAGAGAUUAGAAAAUCCAGCUUUUGCCAUAGUUGAGUAGUUCUGUUGUGAUUCGAGUACAGGAUGUCAUGCAAGAGCUUUUUGAUUAAUAGUUUGUACUAGUUGAUCAUACGAACUUAUUAUGAAUAUUUUUUCACGGUCGUAUUGUUUCGAAUUAGUUGGAUGAGGGUGUGGAUACAGUUUUCAUACUAUGGGUAUAUGUGUUGCUGUAGGGACCAUGGUCUCAGAGGCGCAUAACAACCGUGCGGAGUACGACAAGUCUUUGCAUGAAGCGCGUCGGGAGAUCGACUUGAAGGUGCAAAAGGAUCGCGCUGAGGUAGAUAAGAAACUGAAAAAAGAACGUUCAUACGUGGACAGGAUGAUAAAGGAGGAGCGUGAGGAGUUUUCCCUUAAGAUGGCGAAGAUGCGUCUUGAGAUUGAAGAAAAGUAUAAGAGGGACUGUGAGCACAUGGAAAAAAAGUUUGUCUUAGGCUACAAGGAAAUGCAUCAAACGUUGCAGAAGGACCGGAAGCUUGUGGACAGUAUUAUACAGACAGAGCGAGUCAGGAUGGAUGCCUAUGUGUUGCAGGCACGUGCGGAUAUGGACAGUAAGCUGCUACAGGAGCGGUCAGACAUGGAUUAUAAGGCCAUGCUGGAGAAGGUCCGCUUGGAAGGACAUAUGUUAGAAGACCGUGCGAUCUCACGGCCACCACGACAACAUGUCAUCAAUUAUUCUCCCCCUGUAAGUAUCUCGCACCGAUUCUAUAUAUUAAGGACCUACGUAUUCUAUGAUAUAAACAUCUUCAAUUUGUGGCAACCUUAUGUCGGCGAUUGUAUGUAGGCUAAGCAUCAUGACACGGCACAGUCGCCAUUCACUCGACACAUUGCGAUAGAGUCACCCGUUCAAUGCCACAUCAGUCCACCCCAACAACAU